RNAcentral lists this ribosomal RNA (484 nucleotides) under uncultured bacterium. Its description in RNAcentral is "partial 16S ribosomal RNA". It matches the Rfam family "Bacterial small subunit ribosomal RNA", at positions 30 to 507 of the family's 1533-position model. The record is from RNAcentral.
AUUGAACGCUAGCGGGAUGCUUUACACAUGCAAGUCGAACGGCAGCGCGGACUUCGGUCUGGCGGCGAGUGGCGAACGGGUGAGUAAUGUAUCGGAACGUGCCCAGUAGCGGGGGAUAACUACGCGAAAGCGUAGCUAAUACCGCAUACGCCCUACGGGGGAAAGCAGGGGAUCGUAAGACCUUGCACUAUUGGAGCGGCCGAUAUCGGAUUAGCUAGUUGGUGAGGUAACGGCUCACCAAGGCGACGAUCCGUAGCUGGUUUGAGAGGACGACCAGCCACACUGGGACUGAGACACGGCCCAGACUCCUACGGGAGGCAGCAGUGGGGAAUUUUGGACAAUGGGGGCAAACCUGAUCCAGCCAUCCCGCGUGUGAUAUGACGGCCUUCGGGUUGUAAAGCACUUUUGGCAGGAAAGAAACGUCGCGGGCUAAUACCCAGUGGAACUGACGGUACCUGCAGAAUAAGCACCGGCUAACUACGUG